Callithrix jacchus (white-tufted-ear marmoset) is the source of this 104-nucleotide small nuclear RNA. Lineage: Eukaryota; Metazoa; Chordata; Mammalia; Primates; Cebidae. The record is from Ensembl.
AUGCUCACUUCAGCAGCACAUACACUAAAAUUGGAAUGUCAAAGAGAUUAGCAUGACCCCUGCACAAGGAUGACAUGAAAAUUCAUGUAGCUUUCUAUACUAAA